GAACGACGCUGGCGGCAGGCCUAACACAUGCAAGUCGAGCGAUCCCUUCGGGGAUAGCGGCGGACGGGUGAGUAACGCGUGGGAACGUACCCUUUGCUACGGAAUAGCCUCGGGAAACUGGGAGUAAUACCGUAUGUGCCCUUCAGGGGAAAGAUUUAUCGGCAAAGGAUCGGCCCGCGUUGGAUUAGGUAGUUGGUGGGGUAAUGGCCUACCAAGCCGACGAUCCAUAGCUGGUUUGAGAGGAUGAUCAGCCACACUGGGACUGAGACACGGCCCAGACUCCUACGGGAGGCAGCAGUGGGGAAUCUUAGACAAUGGGGGCAACCCUGAUCUAGCCAUGCCGCGUGAGUGAUGAAGGCCUUAGGGUUGUAAAGCUCUUUCAGCUGGGAAGAUAAUGACGGUACCAGCAGAAGAAGCCCCGGCUAACUCCGUG
Molecule: ribosomal RNA, 433 nt
Filed under: uncultured bacterium
Lineage: Bacteria
Description: bacterial SSU rRNA
Rfam family: Bacterial small subunit ribosomal RNA
Source: RNAcentral